Molecule: ribosomal RNA, 492 nt
Filed under: uncultured bacterium
Lineage: Bacteria
Description: partial 16S ribosomal RNA
Rfam family: Bacterial small subunit ribosomal RNA
Source: RNAcentral
AGUGAACGCUGGCGGUAGGCCUAACACAUGCAAGUCGAACGGAAGCACGGUAAGUGCUUGUUCUUCCGGGGGGCGAGUGGCGGACGGGUGAGGAAAAUAUCGGAAUCUAUUUUUUCGGGGGGGUUAACGAAGGGAAACUUACGCUAAUACCGCAUACGACCUACGGGGGAAAGCAGGGGAUCUUCGGACCUUGCGCGAUUGAAUGAGCGGAUGUCGGAUUAGCUAGUUGGCGGGGUAAAGGCCCACCAAGGCGACGAUCCGUAGCUGGUCUGAGAGGAUGAUCAGCCACACUGGAACUGAGACACGGUCCAGACUCCUACGGGAGGCAGCAGUGGGGAAUAUUGGACAAUGGGCGCAAGCCUGAUCCAGCCAUACCGCGUGGGUGAAGAAGGCCUUCGGGUUGUAAAGCCCUUUUGUUGGGAAAGAAAAGCAGCAGGUUAAUACCCCGCUGUUCUGACGGUACCCAAAGAAUAAGCACCGGCUAACUUCGUG